GCAUCCGUAGCUCAGCUGGAUAGAGUACUCGGCUACGCACCGAGCGGUCGGAGGUUCGAAGCCUCCCGGAUGCACCA
Molecule: transfer RNA, 77 nt
Filed under: Salmonella enterica subsp. enterica serovar Indiana
Lineage: Bacteria; Pseudomonadati; Pseudomonadota; Gammaproteobacteria; Enterobacterales; Enterobacteriaceae
Description: tRNA-Arg
Rfam family: tRNA
About the family: Transfer RNA (tRNA) molecules are approximately 80 nucleotides in length.
Source: RNAcentral